AGUGAACGCUGGCGGUAGGCCUAACACAUGCAAGUCGAACGGCAGCACAGUAAGAGCUUGCUCUUACGGGUGGCGAGUGGAGGACGGGUGAGGAAUACAUCGGAAUCUACUUUUUCGUGGGGGAUAACGUAGGGAAACUUACGCUAAUACCGCAUACGACCUACGGGUGAAAGCAGGGGAUCUUCGGACCUUGCGCGAUUGAAUGAGCCGAUGUCGGAUUAGCUAGUUGGCGGGGUAAAGGCCCACCAAGGCGACGAUCCGUAGCUGGUCUGAGAGGAGGAUCAGCGACACUGGAAGUGAGACACGGUCCAGGCUCCUACGGGAGGCAGCAGUUGGGAAGAUUGGACAAAGGGCGCAAUCCUGAUCCAGCCAUACCGCGUGGGUGAAGAAAGCCUUCGGGUUGUAAAGCCCUUUUGUUGGGAAAAAAAAGCAGCAGGUUAAUACCCCGCUGUUCUGACGGUACCCAAAGAAGAAGCACCGGCUAACUUCGUG
Molecule: ribosomal RNA, 492 nt
Filed under: uncultured bacterium
Lineage: Bacteria
Description: partial 16S ribosomal RNA
Rfam family: Bacterial small subunit ribosomal RNA
Source: RNAcentral